CGAAUCUAAGCUGGCCGAAGACAAGAAAACCGUCGUUUAAGGAAUAAUCAAAUUCUCUAACUUACCGGAUCCAAAGAACGUUACUUCGAAGCGUCCGUUUGGACUGUUUCCAAGUUUCGACUGUUACGACGGUCAGAUGAUCUUCCAUUUUCCUGCGCGUCUUGCAAUGGCAGCAUUGUCAGACAGCGGUUCGAGUCCGCGAUCUUCAGGACGGCCACGAGGACCAACAGGCCCGCCACGGAUCCGGGUCUCAGCAUCGUGACCUUCUCAUCCUGCAACAGACGAGGGCGAUCGACGCCCGAUAUUGAGAUGCUCGUUAGAAAUGGAUUAAUUUAGUCACGAGGGCGGAUCGAUCGGUCAGAUUAACAUCUCGCUACCUCGUCCUUGAUCUGCUUGUCGCUGGUAUUGAUGAUCACCUCGUGCACGGUGGUGCCGAUCUCCGAAGCCUGAUCCUUGCCGGUCUCGCAGGCCCACACCAUCAGCACCAUUUUCACAAAGAAAUAUCCUAUCGACAUGGUGAAUAUGUAGAAGUACAGGCUGAAGGUGAUCUCGGCGAAGGUCAUGACGACGGUAGCGAGAAGCUGCA
Harpegnathos saltator (Jerdon's jumping ant) is the source of this 586-nucleotide long non-coding RNA. RefSeq lists it as uncharacterized. The record is from RefSeq and is a predicted model, not a curated record. Lineage: Eukaryota; Metazoa; Arthropoda; Insecta; Hymenoptera; Formicidae. The transcript has 5 exons.